This 380-nucleotide ribosomal RNA is filed under the name uncultured eukaryote. RNAcentral describes it as "partial 18S ribosomal RNA". It matches the Rfam family "Eukaryotic small subunit ribosomal RNA", at positions 592 to 976 of the family's 1831-position model. The record is from RNAcentral.
CAAUAGCGUAUAUUAAAGUUGUUGCAGUUAAAAAGCUCGUAGUCGGAUUUUGGCAUCACGCCGAACUGUCUGCCGAUUGGUAAGUACGGUUUGGCGGGUGCUUCUUUCUUGAAGCUCGUUCCCUUCUUAACUGAAGGGUUCGUUGGUUCAGGUUCUUUUACUUUGAGAAAAUUAGAGUGUUCAAAGCAGGCCUAAGCUCUGAAUAGGUUAGCAUGGAAUAAUAGAAUAGGACUUUGGUUCUAUUUUGUUGGUUUCUAGGACCGAAGUAAUGAUUAAUAGGGACAGUUGGGGGCAUUCAUAUUCCAUUGUCAGAGGUGAAAUUCUUGGAUUAACGGAAGAUGAACUUCUGCGAAAGCAUCUGCCAAGGAUGUUUUCAUUGA